GUCACGCUGAAUAUCCCUGAGAACUACAUUAAGGGUACAUGUGUCUGUGGAGUGCUCAGUCAGCUGCACGUUAAUUUCACGAGCAGGCUGUUCCAUUGAUCGGAUCAACUGGAACCCUCGUCAUCGUAAGCGAUGGAGUGCCAACAAUAUGCAAUAUGUGUAUGU
This 165-nucleotide long non-coding RNA is filed under the name Octopus sinensis (East Asian common octopus). Its description in RNAcentral is "uncharacterized LOC118763455, transcript variant X1". The record is from RNAcentral. Lineage: Eukaryota; Metazoa; Mollusca; Cephalopoda; Octopoda; Octopodidae.